This 358-nucleotide unclassified non-coding RNA is filed under the name soil metagenome. RNAcentral describes it as "partial contains 5.8S ribosomal RNA, internal transcribed spacer 2, and large subunit ribosomal RNA". The stretch from base 1 to 120 matches the Rfam family "5.8S ribosomal RNA", at positions 35 to 154 of the family's 154-position model. The record is from RNAcentral.
GAUGAAGAACGAAGCGAAAUGCGAUAAGUAAUGUGAAUUGCAGAAUUCAGUGAAUCAUCGAAUCUUUGAACGCACAUUGCGCCCGCCAGUAUUCUGGCGGGCAUGCCUGUCCGAGCGUCAUUUCAACCCUCGAACCCCUCCGGGGGGUCGGCGUUGGGGACCUCGGGAGCCCCUAAGACGGGAUCCCGGCCCCGAAAUACAGUGGCGGUCUCGCCGCAGCCUCUCCUGCGCAGUAGUUUGCACAACUCGCACCGGGAGCGCGGCGCGUCCACGUCCGUAAAACACCCAACUUCUGAAAUGUUGACCUCGGAUCAGGUAGGAAUACCCGCUGAACUUAAGCAUAUCAAUAAGCGGAGGA